RNA transcript from Cucurbita moschata (crookneck pumpkin), 1773 nucleotides. RefSeq lists it as uncharacterized. The record is from RefSeq and is a predicted model, not a curated record. The transcript has 7 exons. NCBI's taxonomy places the organism in Eukaryota, Viridiplantae, Streptophyta, Magnoliopsida, Cucurbitales, Cucurbitaceae.
UGAAUACAAAAGCGCGUUACCGGGAACGAGAGUGGACAAGAACAGAACAGAACGGAGCAGAAGAAGCGAAGAAGAAGAAGAAGAAGAAGAGUUAAUGGAGGAUUUAUGGAAGAGAGCGAAAUCCUUCGCAGAAGAAGCGGCGAAGAAGUCACAGACCUUAACGUCGACCUCCACACUCACUGAAUUGGUCUCUGAAACUGCCAAAAAGUCCAAGGAGCUUGCUGCUGAGGCCUCCAAGACUGCUGAUCUCAUCAAAACAGCCGCCAUCAAGCAGGCCGAUCAUCUCAAAUCACUCAACGUUUCCGACAUUAUACCUCCUCAACUACCUUCCAUUUCCAUCCCCAAUUUCUCCGCUCCCUCGCCGCAUUCUCAGUCUGAGCUCGAGAAGUUUGGCCUCAAUGACGAUCUGAGAGAGUUUGUUAGGGGCUUUACUUCAACUACUUUCAAGAACUUUCCGAUCCAAGACGAACCGGAGGCGUCUGACGUUGCGGUUACGGCUUCUAAUGUGCGUAAGGAUCUGACGGAAUGGCAAGAACAGCACGCCACGCUGGUUCUCACCAAUGUCAAGGAAAUUUCCAGAUUAAGAUAUGAACUAUGUCCAAGAAUUAUGAAAGAAAGGAUAUUCUGGAGGAUAUAUUUUACACUUGUCAGCAGUCAUGUUGCUCCAUACGAGAAGAAAUACAUGGAAGAGAUUAAGCUGAAGUCUGAAGAACAAAGAACAGCUGAUGAAACCAAGCAAACUCCGUUGGUUGGUUCCUCUGAAAAAGUUGAAGUGGCGGAAAAGAACCUGAAGGGUAAAACUUCCCCAACGCUGUCUACUGAUCAAGACUUGGAUACUUUUCUUUUGGGAGAUCUUGAAGACAGUGAUGGGGGAGGUGCAGAUGAGGGUGACGAAAGCUUUGACGACGACUUUGACAAGAUUGAAAACUCGGACGUCGAAGAAGAAAAUCCCAAGGCGAAGUAAUACAAUAAGAAGCAGAUGCAACAGGUGAGAUGGGGUUUUUUAAUAGGAUCGUGGCUUAGCUUCCAUAACAAAAGGAAGAAUGGGCUGCUGAGAAGAAAGUCGUGGUGCAUACUCAUACUAUAGCGAGGUAUUGCAAGUUGUUUCAUUCCCAAAAAUAAGGAAAAAUGAAGAAGAUUGUUGUUCUAGAAAUACCAGUAAAUUUUAGUCUAUGCCGAUUGUAUUCAAUUGUAUAAACAAGGCUGACAUUGGAUGACGACUCUAUAUAGUACUGGGGAUGGCUGGUAUUCCCUUGCUCGCAGUUGUACAGAAUCUACAGAUGAAUUUGUUAAAUCGAUUAUGGUUGUUUGGAAUUAUUCUACUUGCGGAUGAACAUAACUUCCUUUUGGAGCUCUUUUUCUUAGUUAGAAACAGAAGGCGAUGCAGAAACGAAGUGCCUUCUGAAUCCCCACCUGCUACUAAAAAAGCUUUCAUGGCCGACUGUCUGAUUCUGCUGCUACUACUCUUCUCCAAGAUGAUAAGACAAAUUCCCUGGUAUGCUCAUCUCUUAUACUUGAGGACUGAUAUUGUUUAUGUUCCGUUGAAAAUAGAAUAUAUAACCGUAAGCUUCCAAGUAGUGGGGCCAAUUAGGACUCACACCACGUGCCUGUUGAAAAAUGAGUUGAUUACUCAUAAGCAGUGACUUGGUUAGGAGUUCUCUCUCAGCUUAGUUCUUUUUGUUUCGUUUGAUAGAUGGUCGACAAGUAUGAUGGUGUCUUAAUGAUGAAUAUGCACGUAUUUUAUGUCUUUUAUUGGCGAAUUUGAAAACCUCA